RNAcentral lists this transfer RNA (68 nucleotides) under Anolis marsupialis. RNAcentral describes it as "tRNA-Trp". Lineage: Eukaryota; Metazoa; Chordata; Lepidosauria; Squamata; Anolidae. The record is from RNAcentral.
AAAAACUUAAGUUAACUAAACCCAGGACCUUCAAAGUCCUAAAUAAGGCCCGUCCGCCUUAGUUUUUG